UUCUUCGGAGAGUUUGAUCAUGGCUCAGGACGAACGCUGGCGGCGUGCCUUAGACAUGCAAGUCGAACGGAGUAGCAAUACUCAGUGGCGAACGGCGGAGUAAUGCAUAAGCAACGUGCCCCAAAGACUGGGAUAGUCGAGGGAAACCACGGGUAAUACCAGAUGUGGUCCUUAGAUGGCAUCAUCGAGGGAUUAAAUCGAGCAAUCGGCUUUGGGAGCGGCUUAUGUCCUAUCAGCUUGUUGGUGAGGUAACGGCUCACCAAGGCUACGACGGGUAGGGGGUCUGAGAGGAUGAUCCCCC
RNAcentral lists this ribosomal RNA (301 nucleotides) under Armatimonadota bacterium. RNAcentral describes it as "Armatimonadetes bacterium partial 16S ribosomal RNA". It matches the Rfam family "Bacterial small subunit ribosomal RNA", at positions 1 to 309 of the family's 1533-position model. The record is from RNAcentral. Lineage: Bacteria; Bacillati; Armatimonadota.